This is a long non-coding RNA of Drosophila biarmipes, 1562 nucleotides long. RefSeq lists it as uncharacterized. Lineage: Eukaryota; Metazoa; Arthropoda; Insecta; Diptera; Drosophilidae. The transcript has 3 exons. The record is from RefSeq and is a predicted model, not a curated record.
AUUCUGUGAACAAUCCAAAUCAGCCUUAUACAUUUUAAACUAACUUAAUCUUAAAGCAGUGUGCCUCCUACAAUUCACAAGACAAUGAACACAUUUUUGGUGGCAUUCAUUAUUAGGCCCACACUUCAAGGGCCACGAAACCCAUACGAGGUCGGAUAACUUAACAAAUACUAGAUUUUCCUUACAAUACAUAUUCUACCUAUCGAUUACAAUGUUUGACCGUCGACAACAUCAAUAAUAGAUCUUUAGAUUUCAAAAUGCGUUAUAAUUUAAUUUAAACAAAUAACAAUAAUAUGAAAUAACAAAAUUUAAUUUCAAAUCCAAUUUCUUGUUAUCUUGUUUUUAAAUAAUACAGAUUAUGUGAAUUAUACUCAACAUACAAAACAAAAUUUAAUUUAAAAUUUAAUUUCUUAUAAUUUAGUUUUUAAACGAUGCAGUUUAUAAAAAUAAAAAAAAAAUAUAAAAAAAAAUAUAUUGCAUUCUCGACAUUUGGGGAAAAAAUUAUUACGAUAUAAAUAUAUAUUUGUUCCAAAAAUAAAUAUCGAUAAUAAUAUUAUCAACAACCCUAGACUUUAGCAAGGCUUUCGAUGUGGUUAGGCAUUCACAGCUUCUACUUAAACGUUUUUAUUUGGGAUUUUUCUGUCUGCUCGUUACGAGGUUCGUGCGGCUUCUACAGAAGAUUGUGUGUUUGUCCAACUAAAUUUAUAUGACGUUUUAUUCUCGUGCUACUAAUGCAUUGGGUGUGUGCCUUGGCAGGUCUCGGUACCUUCUCGCGCUGGUUCCACUGCCUGCUGAUAUUGCUCGUUCUGGCCUUUCGACGCGUUCCUGCGCUCUCCAACGAGGUCCGCGCGGCGAUCGAUGGUGUCUGCUGGUUUCACUGACGAUGUCCUGCGGAUUUAUAUAACUCCUCACAUUCCGUGCUUUCUUCGGGUGACGAAAAGAAGCUCAUUCUCUCUCUCUCUGGCUGUUAUCCUUUCUAUCCUCAGACGGAAUUAGGAAUUCUCGUUCUUAUCUCUGGCCAACAGUUCGCCGAUGAGCUUUAAAACGCCGAUCAACAUGGUCACAGUGAGCGCUCUGACGUCGACUUUGCUGCCCAGGAUCGCUUUCAUUGUGGUCUUUAGCUCUGUGGUUUUGGUGUCGGGGAUCUUAUUUAGGAGGAUUUAGAGUUCCUCCUGAUCUGAGCAGACCAGUGGGACCGUCCGGGACAGAGCACCCUACUCUAAGAACAGUAACGCUUUCCUAAAUCCGCACGGCUGACCCCCUCGCGGGUCCGAGUCGUUGCUAAGCAGUCGCCGAGUCAACGUGUCAGGGACGAGCAGCGAGCACGUGGCGCCAAGGCCACCCGAGUUACCAAGCCGUCUGUAAAUUUACCCGCAAUUAACCCUCUCGAACCCGUGAACACCUUAUAAAUUUGGUGGGACGAACACACAAUCUACUAAGCUAGCCACACGAAUCUCGUAGCGAGGUAUUUGACUAUGAGGGUAUUUUUUUGAUGUAUAUUAUAUUUCUUUAUGAUAUAUAUAUAUAUAUUUCUUUAAAACAUCACAAAAUAAUUAAAAAGG